UGAGGAAUAUUGGUCAAUGGGCGAGAGCCUGAACCAGCCAAGUAGCGUGAAGGAUGAAGGUCCUAUGGAUUGUAAACUUCUUUUAUAGUAGAAUAAAGUGAGCCACGUGUGGUUUUUUGUAUGUAUACUAUGAAUAAGGAUCGGCUAACUCCGUGCCAGCAGCCGCGGUAAUACGGAGGAUCCGAGCGUUAUCCGGAUUUAUUGGGUUUAAAGGGUGCGUAGGUGGUUUGAUAAGUCAGCGGUGAAAGUUUGCAGCUUAACUGUAAAAAUGCCGUUGAAACCGUCGGACUUGAGUGUAAAUGAGGUAGGCGGAAUGCGUGGUGUAGCGGUGAAAUGCUUAGAUAUCACGAGGAACUCCGAUUGCGAAGGCAGCGUGCCGGAGUGCAACUGACGCUGAAGCUCGAAAGUGCGGGUAUCGAACA
Molecule: ribosomal RNA, 422 nt
Filed under: uncultured prokaryote
Description: bacterial SSU rRNA
Rfam family: Bacterial small subunit ribosomal RNA
Source: RNAcentral